Molecule: ribosomal RNA, 252 nt
Filed under: uncultured bacterium
Lineage: Bacteria
Description: partial 16S ribosomal RNA
Rfam family: Bacterial small subunit ribosomal RNA
Source: RNAcentral
UACGGAGGGUGCGAGCGUUGUCCGGAAUCACUGGGCGUAAAGGCGCGUAGGCGGCCUGAUAAGUAGGGGGUGAAAUCCUGCGGCUUAACCGCAGGGCUGCCUUCUAAACUGUCAGGCUGGAGCACAGUAGAGGCAGGUGGAAUUCCCGGUGUAGCGGUGGAAUGCGUAGAGAUCGGGAAGAACAUCAGUGGCGAAGGCGGCCUGCUGGGCUGUUGCUGACGCUGAGGCGCGACAGCGUGGGGAGCAAACAGG